RNAcentral lists this long non-coding RNA (1365 nucleotides) under Mytilus galloprovincialis (Mediterranean mussel). Lineage: Eukaryota; Metazoa; Mollusca; Bivalvia; Mytilida; Mytilidae. The record is from RNAcentral.
GUGGGGUGAUCCCCAGGGACUUCCCUUUUAUUUUAUUUGAUUUGUUUUAUUGUCCCCUACAAGAAUAUAUAUGGUUUAGGGGUGGGGAUCUGGACCGUUUACAAGAUAAUAGCAUAUUCUCAAAUUGAACGGGGUGGGGGUGACCCCAAAGGACUUCCCUUUAAUUUCGUUUGAUUUGUUUUAUCGUCCCAUUCAAGAAUAUAUAUGGUUUAGGGGUGGGGAUCUGGACCGUUUACAAGAUAAUAGCAUAUUCUCAAAUUGAAGGGGGUGGGGAUGACACCCCAGGGACUCACCCUAUAUUUCAUGUGAUUUGUUUUAUUGUCCUACGAUCAUUUCUGAAGAUUGCGUGUGUUUAUCAUUUACAGUUUUCAAGUUAUAUUCAUUUGAAAAAUUUAGAAAAUAAAAUCCCAUAGGGUUCUAUAGUAAACCCCUCCCUCCUUUCUGCCCCCAAAAUACCACUAAAUAGACCCAAAUGCACAAACGAAAGAUUGAUGGCUCACCUAGACAUAUUAGUCUAACAUUCUAUGAAACCCUAAGUAAAUCUGACCAGCAGUUUUGGAGAAACGCUGCGGACAAGUUCAUUUUUAAAAGUGGCGGAAGAAAAAGAAGAAGAAAAAGAAGAAGAAUAAUAAAAAUAAUAAUAAACAAGAAGUAAUUGUAACAGGAUGCUGUUACGAAGUCUCCCAAACAAAGCUCCCAUAUUAAUUUGACUUGUUUAAUUGUCCCAUACAAGAAUAUAUAUGGUUUAGGGGUGGGGAUCUUGACCGUUUACAAGUUUUCAAACAAGAGGGGGUGGGGUGACCCCCUAGGGACUUCACUUUUAUUUCAUUUCAUUUAUUUUAUUGUCCCCUACAAGAAUAUAUAUGGUUUAGGGUGGGGAUCUGGACCGUUUACAAGAUAAUAGAACAUUCUCAAAUUGAGCGGGGUAGGGGUAACCCCCAUGGACUCUCCCUAUAUUUCAGUUGUUGUGUUUUAUUGUUCCAUACAAGAAUAUACAUGGUUUAGGGGUGGGGAUAUGGACCGUUUACAAGUUUUCAAACACGACGUGGUGGGAUGACCCCCUAGGGACUUCCUUUUGAUUUCUUUUUAUUAGUUUUAUUGUCCCCUACAAGAAUAUAUAUGGUUUAGGGGUGGGGAUCUGGACCGUUUACAAGAUAAUAGCACAUUCUCAAAUUGAAUGGGGUGGGGGUGACCCCCAGGGACUUCCCUUUAAUUUCAUUCGAUUUGUUUUAUUGUCCCCUACAAGAAUAUAUAUGGUUUAGGGGAGGGGAUCUGGACCGUUUACAAGAUAAUAGCACAUUCUCAAAUUGAACGGGGUGGGGGCGACCCCCAGGGACUUCUCCUUUAAUUCAUUAAAUUUGUUUU